ACAACACAAAGAAGUGACUGAGAAUUCUUCUGCCUAGCAUUAUAUGAAGAAAUCACGUUUCCAACGAACGCUUCAAAGAGGUCCAAAUAUGCACUUGCAGACUUUACAAACAGAGUGUUUCCAAACUGCUCUAUGAAAAGAAAGGUUAAACUCCGUGUGUUGAACGCACACAUCAGAAAGUAGUUCCUGAGAAUGAUUCUGUGUUGUUUUUAUAAGAAGAUAUUUCCUUUUCUGCCAUAGGCCUAGAAGCGCUUGGAAUCUGCACUUGCAAAUACCAAAAAAAGAGUGUUUCAAAUCUGCUCUCUCUAAAGGAAGGUUGAAAUCUGUGAGUUGAAUACAAACAACACAAAGAAGUUACUGAGAAUUCUUCUGUCUAGCAUGAUAUGAGGAAAACCCGUUUCCAACGAAGGGCUCAAAGAGGGCCAAUUAUCCACUUGGAGACUUUACAAAGAGAGUGUUUCCAAACUGCUCGAUUAAAGAAAGGUUAAACUCUGUAAGUUGAACACACACAUCACAAAGUGUAUUCUGAGAAUGAUUUUGUCUAGUUUUAAUACGAAGAUACAUCCUUUUCUACCAUUGUCCUCGAAGCGUUUGAAAUCUGCACUAGCAAACUCCACAGAAAGGGUGUUUCAAAUCUGCUCUCUCUAAAGAAAGUUUCAACUCUGUGAGUUGAAUGCACACAACACAAAGAAGUAAAUGAGAAUUCUUCUGUCUAGCGUUAUAUGAAGAAAUCCCGUUUCCAACGAAGGCCUCAAAGAAGUCCAAAUAAGCACUUGCAGACUUUACAGA
RNAcentral lists this long non-coding RNA (789 nucleotides) under Homo sapiens (human). RNAcentral describes it as "HSALNT0357429". Lineage: Eukaryota; Metazoa; Chordata; Mammalia; Primates; Hominidae. The record is from RNAcentral.